Long non-coding RNA from Aquila chrysaetos chrysaetos, 453 nucleotides. RefSeq lists it as uncharacterized. The transcript has 3 exons. The record is from RefSeq and is a predicted model, not a curated record. Lineage: Eukaryota; Metazoa; Chordata; Aves; Accipitriformes; Accipitridae.
UGGGUCUGACACAAAUUCUGCUCUCCGAAGUGCCAGGAGAGCGGGAAACUUGUUAUCUGUGACACCCCGCCAACUUAGGAGGGGAAAGCCAGCAGGCAGAGGGGAAGGACAGUGCAACGUCUGCGCGCGAUGGCGGCAACCGACCCCUGGAACAGCCCGGUGCAUAUCUUUUUUAAAGGGGCAAUUCUCCUUGGAGACCGAUACAAACUGAAAAAUCAAAGAUGAAGGGCAUGAGAGUUAAAUACUGAGUUAAAUAUUAGGUACCAGACUGACUGACAGCCCAAGUUACAACCCCAGCUCUUGGAAGUCCGACUGACAACUAAGUUUUAGCUGCUCCCUGCCACGGUCCACUUAAUUAGUCUUGUGGCAAAAUGAAAACAACUUGAUUUUGCAUAUGGAGGUAUAAGAAAAAACACUUUACCAAUCAAAUAAAAUAUAUGUCAUCAUUAAAAA